Non-coding RNA from Xyrichtys novacula (pearly razorfish), 2656 nucleotides. The record is from the annotation of a GenBank genome assembly. Lineage: Eukaryota; Metazoa; Chordata; Actinopteri; Labriformes; Labridae.
GAGCUGAUCAUUUGAAUCAGGUGUGUUGGAGCAGGGAAACAUCCAAAACAUGCAGGGCAGUGGAAUCGAGGAUUGGACUUGAGAACCACUGCAUUAAUGUCAGACAUGGUUGGAACUAUUGAAAUUCCAGUCUGCCAUUUCAUACAAUCACCAGCAGAGGGAGCCAUCCUUUCACUGAAUUUGAAGACAGGAAAACAGAUUGCUGUGCACCUCCUGUGUGACAUUUAUAAUUCUUAAUUUCCUUCCCACAUUCACUUUGACCAUGUUUAUCUCACAUUGUAAUAAUUCACCACCAGCAGUCGGAGCCAAUUUAGACUCAUGUUAGAUCAUAAUUACUAAACACUCAGCCUUGCGUGCUACAGUGAUAACUCUCGCUUGUUAAAUAUGUAUUUAAUAAACCAUUAGCAGACUCUCAAUGUUGCUUUCAUUGAAUUGAACUGAUCCAAACUAUCCAAGAGACUAAACACUCUAUCAGUAUGAAGACCUUUAAAUGCAAAGCAGUGUCCCAGUCAGGCUUAAGAUCAAAUAACCUAAAGCUACAGCAUAAAUUCAGGUGUGCAGGAUUUAAAUAGUGAGCUCAUGUUGCUGAUGCAGGAAAGCGAGUUAAAAAUAAAGCUGGUGUUUUUUUUACAACUUCUCUUUGAUUGAGCAACAGCCCCUGAGUUUGGCGUAUUAUAUAAAUCAGUGUUACCUGAUAAAAGAAAAUGUUUCGAGGCACAUUGAACAGGUGGGAAAAUAAAACAUGUAGAAACUUUGUCCUCACUGAGUAAAUUUCCAUCUAUGAUGUACAUGUAUUGAUUUCCACUGAUCCAGAUCUAAGUAUCCCUCCAGUGUUUAUUAAGCUGUCUCUCUGUCUCUUUUGAUAAAUGUUUAACUGUUUUGUCUGAAAACACAAAAACAACCCUCCUAUUCCAGCAAGCUUUAACAGAUCUAAACACGUCACCUGCAAAUUAGCCACACCCGGACAGAGUCUACAUACGGCUUUGUGUUUUUCAUCGCUCCUCUGACCUGUUUGAAUUUGGAUUUAGUUUGGCUUUAAUAGGCUGGGCGGUGUAUGUGAACAUCCUAGAUGAGCAGAGAGUGGGGUAGAACACUAAACCAUGACAAGACAUAUGUUUGCACCUAUCAGUGGGUUAUUUAAUGUGUGAAGAGGUCAGGGUCUAUUAUACGCUGCCAUAUAUGACAAAUGUUGCCAUGGUUCCAACAUGCAUCUGAGUAUUAGACCUUUAUGUCAUGUACAGCAAAGUUAAGUUUCAAUUCAAUACUUGAAAAUAUGAUCAGUAUCCACACAAAUUACAUAACCACAGUUUAUGACUUGAUGUCCUCUGUUGUAACAAAAAUUCAAUUUACAUCCUCAAAAACAAGUGUCUUUGUUUCCCUUUUAGACGAGUCCAAUUUUACUCAUGGGGUUCAGUUUAUUUGAUCAGGAUGUCGCGUGACUUGUCUUCUGUUUUAAAGGCUUUUACAAAAUUUUAUUGACAUAAAUCAUGAGCCCAUGUGAGAACAUAUUGUUCCUGGGCCAUGUGCUCUGUAAAAUGAGCUCAUCACAUGAUGUUUCGACAUAAGAUUGAACCAUAUCACAGGAAACGAAAUGCAGAAGUUGCCAUGAUAGAAGCAGAACUAAAUGCAAACCAGAAUCCUCCUGACGAACAUCUGCCCGUUUUGUUAUGUUUAUUAGGGCACUUAUUUGGCAUCACAUAUCGGGAAUUUCACCAACUUUAUUUUGGAUGUUACAGGUGUCAGCCAGAGAAGGGUAAAAUGUAUUGAUAGUUGCGAGGUUAGAAGGAUGUAUGGAGCUUGUAUUCUAUAUUAUAUUGAAAAUAAGACUUCAAGUGAAAUCUACACUUAUCAUGAAGCACAUGAGUCAUGACUUUUUUGAAACUACACACUUUCCAAUGAAAUAAGGCACAACUAUUUCUCUGAAAUUCAAUUUUACAGGUUUGUGAUACAAAUACCUGAAUAAAUAUCUGAUGCAUGAUCUCACAUGUCUGCCUCUUGGUGAUCACAGACAGAGUAGAAAAUCUUUUUUACUGUUUAAACCUCUUCGCAGCUCCACUGCAGCAUCUAUUCUUAGACAAAGAGGUGCAAGACGGCCACAGCUAUGUGAUAAACAAAAGCACAAAGUGUCAAACCAAAAACAAACAUUUCAGCAAAUUAAAAUCUUUGAACGAGGUUUAAAUCGAGGCUGCAUGACCCUGGAGCGAGCUUUGAGGAUUGAAGGUGAUAUCUAUGUGUGAAAUCGGAGCUUUAAACUCGUCACCCUGCCUGGACAGCUUUGUCCUCCUUGUAUGGUAUUUGAAUAGAGGGUUUCACUUUUCAGGAAUCUCAAUAUUUGGGCUUUAACUUGCGGUCAAAAGAGGGAAACACCUGCAUCCUGCCUCAGAUUACCUCACAUUUACACUUGAUAUGCCUGUGACCUAGCUUUUUUCCGCCUAUCACUUAAUGCUGCAGUCACAGAGGUAAUGACACAUACUGCUGCAGCCUGUUCUGGGGUCCAGAAUCAGCUGUAUUUGUACCAGUGAGUCAUGUUGAACUCUGCUUGGAGUAAAAGUUGAUCACAUCUAUAUCCAUAUUUGUGAGUAUAUCUGCAAAAAGCAUCCUUUUAUCUGCAUAAAGGCUCAGGUUAAACAAUCUGCUCCACUCCAGCUGUGCAGCA